Molecule: ribosomal RNA, 1220 nt
Filed under: uncultured fungus
Lineage: Eukaryota; Fungi
Description: eukaryotic LSU rRNA
Rfam family: Eukaryotic large subunit ribosomal RNA (bases 568-1220)
Source: RNAcentral
CUUGGUCAUUUAGAGGAAGUAAAAGUCGUAACAAGGUUUCCGUAGGUGAACCUGCGGAAGGAUCAUUAAUGAGCAAGGGUCUUCCAGGCCCGACCUCCAACCCUUUGUUUAAUUACCAUGUUGCUUUGGCGGGCCCGUCUUUAACCGGACCGUCGGAGGGUUUUACCUCUGGCCAGUGCCCGUCAGUAGCCCACUACAAAUACCUUUUUAACCAUGUUAUAUCUGAAAAUAGUUAAAUAAACUAAAACUUUCAACAACGGAUCUCUUGGUUCUGGCAUCGAUGAAGAACGCAGCGAAAUGCGAUAAGUAAUGCGAAUUGCAGAAUUCAGUGAGUCAUCGAAUCUUUGAACGCACAUUGCGCCCUUUAGUAUUCUGAAGGGCAUGCCUGUUCGAGCGUCAUUAUCACUAAUCAAGCCUGGCUUGCUGUUGGACCUCUUGUCGUUGAAAAUCGACAGGCCCUAAAGAUAAUGGUGGCGUUUUUUGGACCCUAGAUGCAACGAGCUUUCAUUAGCACGCGUUUAGUUGGGACCUUUUAACCCGGCCUUUUUUAAACCAAUUUUCUAAGGUUGACCUCGGAUCAGGUAGGAAUACCCGCUGAACUUAAGCAUAUCAAUAAGCGGAGGAAAAGAAACCAACAGGGAUUACCUCAGUAACGGCGAGUGAAGCGGUAAUAGCUCAAAUUUGAAAUCUGGCUCUUUCAGGGUCCGAGUUGUAAUUUGGAGAGGAUGUUUCGGGCACGGCUACGGUUUAAAUUUCUUGGAACAGAAUGUCAUAGAGGGUGAGAGUCCCGUCUUGAACCGAUUGCUUCGUCCAUGUGAAACUCCUUCGACGAGUCGAGUUGUUUGGGAAUGCAGCUCAAAAUGGGUGGUAAAUUUCAUCUAAAGCUAAAUAUUGGCCAGAGACCGAUAGCGCACAAGUAGAGUGAUCGAAAGAUGAAAAGCACUUUGAAAAGAGAGUUAAACAGUAUGUGAAAUUGUUGAAAGGGAAGCGCUUGUAAUCAGACUUGAGCUCAACAGUUCCCCCUUCGUUCUCGUUGGGUUAUUCUGUUUUGUCCAGGCCAACAUCAGUUCGAGUGGUUGGUUAAAGACUCUGGGAAUGUAUCUACCCUUCGGGGUCGACUUAUAGCCUAGAGUGUCAUGCAGCCUACUUGGACUGAGGAACGCGCUUCGGCUCGGAUGUUGGCGUAAUGGUUAUAAGCGACCCGUCUUGAAACACGGACC